Long non-coding RNA from Felis catus (domestic cat), 647 nucleotides. RefSeq lists it as uncharacterized. The transcript has 3 exons. The record is from RefSeq and is a predicted model, not a curated record. NCBI's taxonomy places the organism in Eukaryota, Metazoa, Chordata, Mammalia, Carnivora, Felidae.
CUCUCUCUCUCAGAAAUAAAUAAAUUACCUUUAAAAAUAAAUAUAUAAAGUGUGCAAGUCUGUGGCUUUACUAUUCAUGAGGUUGUGCAACCAUCACCACUCUCUAAUUCUAGAACACUCUCACCUUCUCAGAAGGAAACCCUGUAUCCAUGAGCACUCCCUCCUCCCCCCGCCCCCCAGCAACCACGAAUCUGCUCCUUCGGCUCUGCAGAUUUGACUCUUCUGGGCAUUUCACGUGGAUGGAAUCCUACCAAAUGUGGCCUUUGGUGGCUGGCUUCUCUCACGGAACGUCCUGUUUCCAGGGUUCAUCCACAUUGUGGCAUCAGCGCCUCCCUCCUGUUUAUGGCUGAGGAGUAGUCCAUUGUGUGGAUGAACAUUUGGGAUGCCCAGCAGUUGUUUCAUCCUCUCCACGGUCCUACCUCGAGCAAACACAUGCUUUUAAAGAGCUUUGUGGUAUUUCGCCAGAACGUGCUGAGCCCUCACAGGUUUUCAACUGGAGGAAGAACGGAUCAGCAGACUGUGGUAUAUCAACACAAUGGAAUAUAAAGGAGCCUGCCUUAUAGAAAGAAAUCCUGGCACCUGUUACAACGUGGAUGAACUUUGAGGACAUUGUGUUCAAUGAAAUAAACCAGACACAAAACAACAAA